UAACGCGUGGAUAACCUGCCGUAUACCGGGGGAUAACACUUAGAAAUAGGUGCUAAUACCGCAUAAGCGCACGGCUCCGCAUGGGGCAGUGUGAAAAACUCCGGUGGUAUACGAUGGAUCCGCGUCUGAUUAGCUAGUUGGCGGGGUAACGGCCCACCAAGGCAGCGAUCAGUAGCCGGCCUGAGAGGGUGGACGGCCACAUUGGGACUGAGACACGGCCCAAACUCCUACGGGAGGCAGCAGUGGGGAAUAUUGCACAAUGGGGGAAACCCUGAUGCAGCGACGCCGCGUGAGUGAAGAAGUAUCUCGGUACGUAAAGCUCUAUCAGCAGGGAAGAAAAUGACGGUACCUGACUAAGAAGCCCCGGCUAACUACGUGCCAGCAGCCGCGGUAAUACGUAGGGGGCAAGCGUUAUCCGGAUUUACUGGGUGUAAAGGGAGCGUAGACGGCAGCACAAGUCUGGAGUGAAAUCCCGGGGCUUAACCCCGGAACUGCUUUGGAAACUGUGCGGCUGGAGUGCAGGAGGGGUAAGCGGAAUUCCUAGUGUAGCGGUGAAAUGCGUAGAUAUUAGGAGGAACACCGGUGGCGAAGGCGGCUUACUGGACUGUAACUGACGUUGAGGCUCGAAAGCGUGGGGAGCAAACAGGAUUAGAUACCCUGGUAGU
RNAcentral lists this ribosomal RNA (665 nucleotides) under uncultured bacterium. Its description in RNAcentral is "bacterial SSU rRNA". It matches the Rfam family "Bacterial small subunit ribosomal RNA", at positions 111 to 794 of the family's 1533-position model. The record is from RNAcentral.